GGGGCCGUAGUCUAGCCUGGAUAAGGCACUUGCCUGCGGAGCAAGGAAUCCCCGGUUCAAAUCCGGGCGGUCCCGCCA
This 78-nucleotide transfer RNA is filed under the name Candidatus Thorarchaeota archaeon. Its description in RNAcentral is "tRNA-Arg". It matches the Rfam family "tRNA". Rfam says of the family: Transfer RNA (tRNA) molecules are approximately 80 nucleotides in length. Their secondary structure includes four short double-helical elements and three loops (D, anti-codon, and T loops). Lineage: Archaea; Promethearchaeati; Candidatus Thorarchaeota. The record is from RNAcentral.